GCAACGAGGGGCGUGGCUGAGGUGCAGGGGCGUGGCCUGCGGAACCGAGCUGGAGCCGCGGGUUACCUGUGUAGCCCCCUUGGAUUGAAAGAGAGGCAGGUGAUGCAGGGGCGUACCCACGCGGCGAGGCCUUGGCUGCUGAGUUCAGAGUGCUUUGAUUUCCGCCCUUGUGAGCGCUGCCCUGAGCUCUGCACCCGUGCGUGCUCUCUGUGGGGACAGGGGCGCGUAGGUGAGGCCGCCCACGGUGCAGGGGCGGGGCGGACGGGUCGCGGGAAGGGGUAACGCGGAGGAGGUGCCGAGGUCUGCCAUGGGUGAGCACAUGCUUUUCCUGUGAGGACCCCUCAGAUGAUGGACCCCCGACCCAGGAGGGCGCCCUCAGGGUUAUCUCUUGGGCUCAGUGGAAGUACUAUGAAUCUGCUGUUCCUGGAGGCCAUCCCCCCCAUUUUAUUGGAUAAGAUAGAAAUUGAGAGGGAGGGGAAGACGGGGAGAGAGAGAUAGACACCUGCAGACCUGCUUUACCACUUGUGAAGCAACUCCCCUGCAGGAGGGGAGCCAGGGCUCGAAUCAGCAUCCUUACUCAGGUCCCUGUGCUUCACGUUAUGUGGUGCUUGGGCUGAACCUGAAGCAUGAAAGCCUUUUUAAAUUUUACAUAUUUUUAUUGUCACCAGGGUUAUCACUGCAGCUUGGUGACAGCACUACAAACCCAUCGCUCACGGUGGCUGGCUCCCUCCUUCCUACUAUCCUUGAUAGGCUAGAGAGAAAUUGAGAGGGGAGGGGGAAGUAGAGAGGGACAGAGCCAGAGAGACACCUAUGAUGCUUGAUUCACCACUCCUGAAGCUUUCCCCCUGCAGGUGGGGAGCAGGGGGCUCAAACCUGGGUCUUUUUUUCCCCUGAGAAUCACCCCUCCCAUUUUUUUUCCUCUCAGAGCAUUGCUCAGUUCUGGCUUAUAGUUAGUUGUGUGGGGGGUUGAACCUAAAACCCUGUAGCCUCAGGCACGAGAGAGUCUCUUGGCAUAACCAUUAUGCUAUUUCCCCUGCCCGAGAACCCCAGAUCUGAAGGUUCUCCUUGAGACCAAGACCUGUCUUUGUGCAAAGACAUCCCGAGGGUCUUUUCACUUUAAUUAGAUAGCUGAGAAGUAAGCGUGGUAUGUGCAGCCUCAGAGGAGCAUGUGGGGAGAAGCCUUUAUUAAGGGAGGGGGAGGCCUCAGUUCCUGCCUAGAACCAUCUCCUUCCAGGUAUCUCAUAGCCACUUAAUGUCUGCAAGAAGCUACCUGAGCACGUUUUCUGGUCAGCAGGAAGCCAUCCUAAGGGGAUGUGGACUCUGACAACACAAGAGGAAAAGCAGAACAGCUCCAGCCACAGCCCCACUGCAACAGCUCCAAACCGGGUUGUGUCCUCUCAUUCCCUCCAUUGGAAACUGCAGGAGUUCUCCCAAGAUCACAGAUCUGGAUACUGAAGGAAUUCUUACAAGCAGCCCCAGGGGACAGUCACCACUGAAUCCAGAAUCCUUAGAUCUCAUCCCUGGAAGGUUCUCUGAGCUGACCCCACAGAGGAAAUGUCAUCAUCACCAUGAAUCCCCUUGCCAGGUGCCCCCUCCUUCUCCCAUUCACUCAGAGAUGACAUGUGCAGCUGCUUCGGGGUUUGGGUCCCUCAGUUCUUUUGACCAUGGUGUUUGGAGCAACUGUGUUCAUCUCCCUGUUGUAAUUUGCCCUUAUUCUUAGCCUGUUCAUUUCCUAUCCAUGACUAGCUUCGAACACAGACAUUUAACUUGGUUUCAGAUCUUCAAAGGGGAACCUUGGGACAGACACCCUGCCCACUGUGUGGUCAUUUCCAUUCUGUGUUUUUAUUCUUUUCUAUCUGACUCAAAGCUCGGGUUCUGCACUCAGUC
Long non-coding RNA from Erinaceus europaeus (western European hedgehog), 1887 nucleotides. RefSeq lists it as uncharacterized. The record is from RefSeq and is a predicted model, not a curated record. The transcript has 5 exons. NCBI's taxonomy places the organism in Eukaryota, Metazoa, Chordata, Mammalia, Eulipotyphla, Erinaceidae.